GGGGAGGUUUCUGCCAGCGGGUUAUCAUCAGGUCGGAGCUCCUCAUUCGUUGGGGCUGUGAGAGGAGCCUACCAUGGGUAGCCCUUGUUUCUGCACGUGAGGGAAGAGAGAGAACCUGCCAAGACCCAGGGGCCAACAUCUGUGUGUGUGUCCCUGCUCUCAAGUCUUUGCACACAUCACCUCCUCAGCCCACACCAGCUAUAAGGCCUGUUCUGUUAUUCUCAUCAAGCACGUCUGACUCUGGAGCUAAGAGAGGGACUCAGUGGUGCAAGCACUUGUCUAAGUCCCAUGGCGGGCAUGUGGCUAGCUGGCAAAGCAGGGCAAGGCCCUGGAUAAUCUGUGUGCUUUGGACUAUUGCUCUAAACCACUUCUUACGUGGGACAAUGAAAGGAAUAGUGCAUUGUCUCCAUCCCAUACUGGGGCAGAACUGACACGAGUCAUUACUAUCUGCUGAAGCCUGGGGACAGGACUUGAGUGAUCAGGUACUUUCACAGAAUAAGUAAAACCCCAAUAAAUUUUAAAUUGAUAUUCUGUAUAAAACAGCAAAGAUCUUUAUUUUGUGUUUCUAAUAGUAGUAUCUGCAGUAAACUUUUUAUGUUUCCUAUAUGGUCACUUUAAUUAAAAAUUCCUCAAAUAACAUCAAUGUAUGUACUCUCUCUCACUCCCAUUUUAUGGAUGUACAGUGCAAUGUUCAUUCUGCAGAUAUACUGAAGGGAGAGAAGAGGGAUUUGCAGGCCAGGCAGACAAAAGAGAUGGACUUGGACACAUGAUCCUUCAGCCCUUCUUUCAGACCACUGGGGGGCUCAUAGUUUUUGACUGACAUUUUGACCUACACUGUUUAUGAACAUGACUAUUUCUUAGAGGGGAGACCACUGCCUUCUUGAGCCUGAACAGAACCUUCCUUCAUCCCUAUAUUUAUUAUGAAAAUUAGAGACAAGAACCUGAGGGGAACACAAUCUAAGAAAAGUAAAGGUCAGUUUUCAUACCUGAGUCCGGAAUCAGCAGCAAAUCACAGGAAGAUAGAGAUAGAAGCUGAACACAGAAGCAGCCAUGGGACAGGAAAGCCCAGAACUGCUCAUUGCUGUGGCAGAUCAUGACAUGAAGAGCCCCGGGCACCUAUAAGCCAUCUCUUCUUCUGAGAAACCGGAACCAGCCCCACCCUCCCGCCUCUGGCCUGAGACCUCCUGCUCCCAGAGACUUCACUCUCUCACCUUCUCCUGGGAAGCCAGCAGGGCCAUCGAGAUGCCUCUACUGCAAGCAGUCAUCUUCUCCUCCUUCUGGGCUUGUGAGUUGCCCUACAAUCAUUUCAGUCCACAGGAGAGGCUGGAAAAAGUCUUUAUUGUUGCCUCUUUAGACAUCAUUUGUUCAUGGGAAUUUCUCCUCUUUGCUUGCAGUUGGCCUGGGGCAGACAAAGCCGAAGCAACUUGAAAUAUCAGUCACCAGAGCAAGAGAUAAGAGUGCCCACAUACAUUGUAAGGUGACCAUUGAGGCGUUUGGCGAAGA
Manis javanica (Malayan pangolin) is the source of this 1503-nucleotide non-coding RNA. NCBI's taxonomy places the organism in Eukaryota, Metazoa, Chordata, Mammalia, Pholidota, Manidae. The record is from RefSeq and is a predicted model, not a curated record.